This is a non-coding RNA of Misgurnus anguillicaudatus (oriental weatherfish), 1197 nucleotides long. NCBI's taxonomy places the organism in Eukaryota, Metazoa, Chordata, Actinopteri, Cypriniformes, Cobitidae. The record is from RefSeq and is a predicted model, not a curated record.
GGUGGCGGUAAUGCACCUAAAGUUGUUUGCCAACUGCCAGUAAAACUCAAGAAGAAGAAGGAGGCUAAUGUCAGCAGGCUACCCAAGGAAACUUCUUGCUUUACAAGAUACUGUCUUACACCAGUUUCCUACGGCCAAGGAUGCUGAUGUCAGAAAAUCCUUCAACAGUAGAAUCUGCGAGCUAAGACACCAGGUUCCAAAGGGUUUUCGACCAAAUAGUCAAUCAAGAAGAAAUCUUUCAAGCUGUUGCGAAGCCUGUUGCUGAUAAGUGAGUUUACCUUUGUUGUUCUGUUUUUUGUACAUAUUUAACUACAGAUGUGGCCUAUAAAAAUGUGCAUCACAGGGAAAAGAAUUGUGCGAGCACUUCCGGCAUUCUGCAGCAUUCAGCAGAAAGAGGAUUAACUCUCUGCCGGAGGAAAUACCAUACCUGUAGAUGGUGUGUUUCAUGUAGGCUGUACUGAUGACAGUAUGCUGCCCUCCAAAGGCUAAGUGCAGUAUCUACGCAAACACUGAAACUGAGAAAAAUGGCUUUAAAGUUUUUUACAUCAGCCAGUCAAACAUGUUACUGCAAUUUUGGCACACACAUUUCUCUGAAAUGGGACAAAAUUUAACCAGGAGACUUUGUCACAAGACACAACAGAUCUCACAAAGCCCAUUUUAACCCUUAACUCAAUUUUGACCAAAUGCGUAGUUACUGCGCUUUCGCUUUGUAGGGCAGUAUGGGUGAUUGACUUCAUGCUGCGCAAAUUGACGUCGCUCAUACUGUAUGACAUUGAAGUAACAUAACAUGACAGUGACACACGUCUGCACAGCUUUAAAAGUGUAUUUACAGGACAUUCACAAAUUCAGGAAACUGAGGAAAAACGCGGAUCCACCACUCCAGUAAAUGUACUGUGAGUGUGCGCUCCCACAGCAACGUGACGCUCUUGACAUCCAUUUAUCAGCGAGUAUAGCUCGUAUAUGUAUAACACACGCGUGAUCACUAAACCAAGUUUUAUUGUUUAAGUGAACAUAAACAGCUGGAUGUUUAUCAGUAUAUUGAUACUUAAAGCAGUCUGUCUUUGGUCUUAAAGUGACAGUAGCCUGCUGCUCUCUGUGUCAGAAAUGUUCAUUUCAUAACAAAUAUAUUUACAUUUAAUACAGUGCCUGAACAUUAAAACAAGAUUUUAGUUUGUAUUUCUCAUGUUCUGAAUAAAA